Long non-coding RNA from Parasteatoda tepidariorum (common house spider), 1939 nucleotides. RefSeq lists it as uncharacterized. The record is from RefSeq and is a predicted model, not a curated record. Lineage: Eukaryota; Metazoa; Arthropoda; Arachnida; Araneae; Theridiidae.
ACACUCUAAAAACUGUACCUCUGAUUUCAGAGGCACAGGCUAAAUGUACCGUGUAUUUUCUCGCGUAAGAGGCACAUAACUAAUGUGCCUUUAAAAAUGAGAGGCACCACAACAAAUUGAAGGCACCAAAGCAAACGCCAGUCAAUGCGCGGUACAAAAAGACAUUCGUGCCUCUCAAAUUCGCUUCAUUUCUUUUUCUUCGGUACGAUCAUGUAACGGAGAACAAGCGCAUGCGCACAUCAGUGAAAAAUUUUAUGACGAAAUACGUUUUCUGUCCCCUCUCAUCCACGCUACCGAUGGAAGAAGUUUUCCUACAAAUAUGUUCUAUUGAUGUUAUAAAAAUGCUUGAAUUUGCCGAGCUGAAUGCAUGAUAAAACACUUACAUGGAGAGGAAAACCACUAAGCCUGCUACAGUUAGUCUGGCGUCCAGGGGACUCAAACCCAUGAUCCAACUACCUCUGAGGGUAUUUUACAUCAGCACUGUGGUCAAUGCUAAACUAUAAAUAAUGUGGAUGCUGUGGGAAGGAUUUGAUCAGGCCUCCUCUGCAAAUGCUUUGCCCAUGUACCUCCCCCGGCAAAGUGUUUAACUUGAGCAUUUUUUCUUCCGGAUACAACCUUUAAAUGUCCGUUGCUAUUUCUCCGAAUUAUUGUGAUUCUGUAUUAAUAACUAGUGAAAACUAAAAGAAAGAAAAAUGUGUGUCAUUUGAUUUUUUUCAAAAUUUGGAAAAUGUUUUAAUAAAAGUUCUCUGCGAAACAUGUGGACUUUUUUUUAUAAGAGUCUGCAUUAAACGAAUCUUACCAUCUCCAAGUAAAAUUGACUUACAGUUGUUCCACUCUGUAAAGCAAAUUUAUCUAUAUGUUAUCACCUUUUACUAUGAUAUUUUAUUUUCUCAUUAUAGUGCUAAUUUUUUUUAAUUUUGUUUUAUUUUAAACUAUAAUUUUUGUAAAUUUGGUUUAGGCUAUUCUCACUGGUUAAAUUACUCAUUGUAUUAAGUAUGUUUACCAUUAUAAUUUUGCUUCCGGUGUUGUGUUUUCUUUUUUUACCAGCACUUUUUCUUUAUUGACCUUUAAUUAUGAUAUUACUAUAUAUAUAUACAUAGCCUAUACUAAGUAUUUCAAAUUAUUUGCCAGAUUUUAAAAUUCUUAGCCAAAGGAAAAUGUUAGAAAUUUUUUAUGAUAGAUUUUUUCUGUAGGAAACUUUUAAACAUAAUACAAAUUUAUUAUAAAUUAAUUAUUUUAUAAAAAUGCAAAUAGAAAUUUAGAGUCAUUUUGCUGUUGGGGAGGAGUAAACGUGCAAUGAAUGGGGGAGAGAUUGAAAAAUGCAGAUGUUUUAUCGUGUUUGAGGGGAGGAAAUAAACAUAGAUUGAGGUUUAUUUUUGGCAACGUAUUAGAUUAGUGUAGUAAUAUAAAGAUAAACCUGAAACGACGCUAUGUUCUGCGUUAUUAAAUUAGUGCAUAUAUUAUUGUCAUGAAAAAAUAUUUUUUCUGCUAAAAUAAUCUGCAUCUUGUUUUUCGUUUGAAAACAGCUUUCGCCAAUACUUUCCCUCAAAAGGGAACAAGGUCUUUUUUCUUCAAUUGUAAACUAGCCAUUGUACAUUUUCUCUAUGGGCUAGUUUUAUUUAGUACAUUAGAUUGUUGUAAUCAAGUUUAAGUUAAAAUAAUUUUUAUUUUAAUAAUAUUUAUAAAACAAAUGCAUGUUUAAUGAUUGGGGAUAAAAAUGCGGAAUUUCACGAUUUUUAAAAUACUAUAAAAAAUAAAAAUUCUGAAACAAGCUUUCAAAAAAAAUUGCAAAAUUCUUUUCAUAUAUUCAGAGCUCAAAUAAAAUUGUCAAUUAAGUAAUAUUAAGUACAGUUAGUUCUAAAAAAAUUGAAAGCUAAUGUUCCCAAAAUGGGAAUGAUGGCGCCUAAUGGGUUAAUAUGCUUCGCCAAAAUCAGGCUUU